CAGAAACUGUUGGUGUCCGGAGGCUGGGAGAAGUCAUCAUCUGGAGAUCUGACAGGAAGUUCAUCCCGCGGUUCUCUCUCUCUCUCUCGACGCGACCUCGACGUGUAGUGUCAUCAUGUUUGCAAAAAUAAAGAAGAGAGACGCUGGCGAACCCUUCACCAUCACUGAAUGUGACGGAGUGAAGAAGCAAGUUAAAAUCGCCAGCUUUGGACCUAUCUCAGUGGAUUGCGGCUGCGGAUUGCAUCGUCCUGGUGGCUACACCAGACUCACAGAUUACCUUGACUGGAUCCAAAGGGUGGCUGGAGUCAAUAUCCGACCUUAAAGCUAUUUGUGUGUAGCGAGGUUCGUUCUAUAAGAAAAAAUUCAAACUUUUGAAUUUUCUUUUCAAUAAUCCUUGAAGCCAUUUUAUAAUUUAUAAAUAAAUGGAGCAAUUCUCUAUAGCGAAUAGCUGUUAUUCUAGAUUCCCCGGGGUUUUUCCAAGUCUCGUGGUUUUUUAACUGUUGGAACAGACAUGUUAAAAGCUUCUUGAAUAAAUUAUAAAAUAUAUUUUGUUUUACAAGGCUAUGUUUAAACUGUUUAUUGGAAAAUAAAAGAAUUCAAAACCCUGUUGUAUAUAUCCCCCCUUUAUAUGUUGAUAAUAGUAAUUAUCACAUAUAAUAAUCAAAAUUAUGCAAUAUUUAACUAGUUCGGUGCACCCCCGAAGACAAGUAUAUUUUUUUUAAAUAUAAAAAAUACCUUAUGGAAAAAAUAAUUUUUUCCAAUUACCCAACAAAAAGCAAGCCCAGUUCAUCAUCGUCCCGACCGCAACCACCUCCAGCGCUGCAAACGGGGUCGGGAUGGUCGAAGCAAUGAUAUCGUACGCCCCCAUGGACCUACCUGAAGAGCCGAGGAGAACGUUACACUCUACUGUCCGAGAAGACAGCAGUGUACAACUGCGUGAGGGCAGUUGGACUAAUAAAAUUCACCGAAAUGCGGAAGAGAGACGCUGGCGAACCCUUCACCAUCACUGAAUGUGACGGAGUGAAGACCCAAGUUAAAAUCGCCAGCUUUGGACCUAUCCCAGUGGAUUGCGGCUGCGAAUUGCA
Molecule: long non-coding RNA, 1085 nt
Organism: Cloeon dipterum
Lineage: Eukaryota; Metazoa; Arthropoda; Insecta; Ephemeroptera; Baetidae
Exons: 3
Source: RefSeq, a predicted model, not a curated record